RNAcentral lists this long non-coding RNA (476 nucleotides) under Elaeis guineensis (African oil palm). RNAcentral describes it as "long non-coding RNA (EGUI_LNC056641)". The record is from RNAcentral. Lineage: Eukaryota; Viridiplantae; Streptophyta; Magnoliopsida; Arecales; Arecaceae.
GGAAAGGAAUAUGACAUGCUUCCAAGAUUUCACAAGGAAAAACUCGUGGUGGGGCCGAUGACAUGUGCUGCAUGCAUGCACAAUGAAGAGACAAGAAAACAUAUAUGCAUUGUGUGCAUGCAUAAUGAAGAGACAAGAAAACAUACUUUAGGUCAUUUUCUGGAGCCUGACAUAUUAUAUUACUGAUUUAUUUGUAUAUAUGUUUUGCAAUGGCUUCUUCGAGGUACAGGUCUUAUUUUGCUGAUAGAGUGUAGACUCAUUUCACGGGGGCACCAUUAGCAAGGCAGUUCCCGUAACUAUGCCUAAAGUCAUCUUCAGGGGCAAGAAAAUAUAUCAUCAAUGCCGAAUUAAAGGCUAGCAUUCAUAUAGAGAGAUUUUUGGCCAUCAUCAAUAAUUAUCAUACAAUGCAAACAUCAAACAUUUGUACUAAAAUAUAGAUGAUCGGAGAUUUGGUGCAUUUAAAAAGCAUUUUGUUC